GCCAAGUUCAGGGCUGGUGCUCUCGUUCAGAUAGAUUUAGCUGGUGGUGCAGAGAUCCGUGAGCUUGCUUUUACAGGACUUUAAUGAUAUAUAAAAGCAGCACGAGGUGCUCCUGACUGUGGAUUAAUUUGGAGAUGACUUUCUCUGUUGAAGAGUAGCAAGACUCUCGCGAGUUCUUAAAAAUGCACUUGUUUGGUAUGAGAAUGAAAAGCAGUGGCUGAAGAACCAAUCUUCAAUGGGCAAGCCUUCUCUGUGUCUGUUCUAACACGUGCCAUUUGGGAUCCCUUGGAAUCUUCAUGUACAGAACUGGUUGCUGCCUCGUUGAGUCGGUGGGGACAGAAUAGCUCCUGGUUGACAGCAUGGGUUGUGCAGAAGGACGGAUCCUGCAGACAUCAAUAUCUGGCUUUGAGUGGCACAAAGAAAUAAAGGAAUGUGGAUUCAGACCUCACUGGGAUGCUUGGCAAUUCUAAUUCUACCCCAGACUGCAAAUGGACACACAACUGUUGUGACUUUUGUUGAAGAGGAGAAGGAUGGACUUGCCCUGAAUUCUUUCAUGUGCAAUAUCCGAAAACCCUCUCUUGGGGCCUGGAUCAGGACCCCUUUCCUAUAACAUCUUUCUGGCGACAACAAAGGGACAAUGGUGUGGAAUCCCCCUUCCCAAAUGCUACUUUUAGGCUGUUUCCCAUAUAAGGUUCAUGACCCCCAGUGAGGAUGAAACUGCCUGCAAGGUUUGUCUUCUCUCCUGUUCACUGGUUACUCAGCCAGGCUGAUUCAUGGGCUUCUCAAAGGAGCUUGUUUAUCAGAAGCUUGUCUAAGACACCACGUCUUCCAGAAAAUCUCACCUGAGUCACCAACAGAUUCCUCUAAGAGUCUGUAAGCCACUCCUGACCAGCAGGAAACCCCAACAGAGGCAAAGAAUAGGAAAUUAAAUAUUUCGUCAAGAAAAAAUGAGAGGCUGGGUGCGGUGGCUCAUGCCUAUAUCCCAGCACUUUAGGAGGCCUAAGCGGGCGGAUCAUUUGAGGUCAGGAGUUUGAGACCAGCCCGGCCAACAUGGUGAAACCCUGUCUCUACUAAAAAUACAAAAACAAUUAGCUGGGCAUGGUGGUGGGUGCUUGUAAUCCCAGCUACUGGGGGAGGCUGAGGCGGGAGAAUCGCUGAAACCCAGGAGACAGAAGUUGCUGUGAGCCGAGACCACACCACUGCACUCCAGCCUGGGUGAGAGUGAGACUGUCUCAAAAAAAAAAAAAAAAAAAAAAAAAAAGCAAGAAAGCUCCCAUUUAGAUCACUCGGACAAAAGAUUUCUUUUUGUGCCAAAAUGUUCCACUAGGCUUCCAGUUUUUACCACAUAACUUGACAGUCAUGCAAGACUUAAGUGUAUUUUCAGCUAUCCUUUCUCUUUCAUUUAUUUCUGUUUAAUAAGCUCUGUCCAUUGAUUCUAGUUAGUACAUUAUAUAUCUUUUUAAUCACUUACCUGCAGUGAGCAUCUUUCCAUGUUGGUAAAUACCGGUGCUACUACUGUUACUACUGAGUACUUAUUCCAUGUCAAAUCCUCUGCCAAGCAUUUUCAAGCAUUGUCUCAUUGCCUUCUUGCCACAACCCUAUGAAGAGGCCGUGACUGUCCUCAUCCAAUGGAGGAGGAAGCUAAGGCUGAGAGCAAUUAACACAGCUGUGAGUGAACAGGUAGGAUUUAAAGCCAGGCAGUAUGAUUCCGGAGCCUACGCUUUUAAUCACUGUUAUUUUACUCUCCUCCACUCCCCAAAUAUACUGCAUUUUUUUUGUGUGAUUGUAUUGUAUUAUUCUGUUCUAGAUGUACUAUGAUUGAUUUCGUCCAUGCUGUAAUUACACUUCGGUUGGUUUUAGUUUUCACUACUACAAAUGGUGUUGCAACGAACGUCUUUGUGGGCAAAUCUUUACAGGUCAUGAAUGACCCUUUCCUUAGGACACAUAUUGCCAAGCUGAUCUCCACAAAGGUAGUACACGCCCAUCAUAUUGUACAAAAGUAUUCUUUGCCCUCCACCCUUGACACUGGGUUGCAUCUAUUUUUUAAUUAUUGCUGUUAGGAUAGAAGAACAAGGCUGACACAUUGUUGUUUCAGUUUGUAAGCUAGAACACUUCAUUGCACAUUAGCUGUAUUCCUUAGGUGUAUUUCUUGUUCAUGUCCUUUGCCCUCUGAGGUUUGUCUCUUUAUCACAGAUUUGAGAACUUUUUGUAUAUGUCUUAUAUUUUUAGAAUUAAUAAAUUUAGGGCAUAAACCCAAUAGAAAGAAAAACAGACUCAUUCUGUGUUUUGCAUAGCAUCUUACCUCCUAUCCUUCCUCCACAUUGAUAGUAAAGCAUAAGAAAUGAUUCCUGUGCCCAGAGGUUGAAAGCAGGUCCAUUUUAACAAAGUCACUUGGAAGCAUCCCCUUUCUCCAAAAGAAGCUCCCAGCUUCUCCUCCUGCUCUUCGGUCUCAGAGGAAGGGAAGAUGUUG
This 2470-nucleotide long non-coding RNA is filed under the name Homo sapiens (human). RNAcentral describes it as "HSALNT0399969". Lineage: Eukaryota; Metazoa; Chordata; Mammalia; Primates; Hominidae. The record is from RNAcentral.